Molecule: ribosomal RNA, 452 nt
Filed under: uncultured Coriobacteriaceae bacterium
Lineage: Bacteria; Bacillati; Actinomycetota; Coriobacteriia; Coriobacteriales; Coriobacteriaceae
Description: bacterial SSU rRNA
Rfam family: Bacterial small subunit ribosomal RNA
Source: RNAcentral
UGGAGCAUGUGGUUUAAUUCGACGCAACGCGAAGAACCUUACCAGGGCUUGACAUCCCCUGACCGCGUAUGAAAGUACGUUUUCACCCUCGGGUGACAGGGAGACAGGUGGUGCAUGGUUGUCGUCAGCUCGUGUCGUGAGAUGUUGGGUUAAGUCCCGCAACGAGCGCAACCCCUGUGGUUAGUUGCCAGCAAGUAGCGUUGGGCACUCUAGCCAGACUGCCGGUGAUAAAUCGGAGGAAGGUGGGGACGACGUCAAGUCAUCAUGCCCCUUAUGUCUUGGGCUGCACACGUGCUACAAUGGCCGGUACAAUGGGCUGCGAUGGGGUGACCCGGAGCGAAUCCCACAAAACCGGCCCCAGUUCGGAUCGAAGGCUGCAACUCGCCUUCGUGAAGUCGGAGUUGCUAGUAAUCGCGGAUCAGUAUGCCGCGGUGAAUACGUUCCCGGGCCUU